Molecule: long non-coding RNA, 484 nt
Organism: Solanum dulcamara
Lineage: Eukaryota; Viridiplantae; Streptophyta; Magnoliopsida; Solanales; Solanaceae
Exons: 3
Source: RefSeq, a predicted model, not a curated record
UUCAGAAUCUGUUUUUGGCACGUCGUUCGAGCUUGGCAGCGUUCCGAGGCCGUUCGAAAGGGAAAAGCUCCAGCACAGUGAUUUGGAGCCCGCGUGUUUGGCCUACAGGACCGAGUACCAGCUACUGUCACGAAUAGAUCGAGCUUGUUGCAGUCAGAUUCGGAGACUAGGGUGAUAACUUGGCGUUUUUGGAUCACUUCUGUCUCCUUCAAAAUGGAUGGCCCGUCUUUUGCCUUUUGAGACUAGCCAGUUAUUGUAUAUAUAUGUCCGGUCCACUUUCGAGACUUGUACUCGUCUUUUAUUUUAUAGCAGCUCUGUACUUGUGACUUCCAGGUUCUGGGAGGGAUCUUUAGUUGUUUAAAACAUGUUUUGGUUUACUUCCGCUUAUUCAUUUUGUUUACUUUUAUAAUUCAAUGCUCUUAUAUAGUUUUUGCCUUCAAACACAUUACUUGAAGUUCCGGGUUGACGGGUUGGCUUACCUACU